This 253-nucleotide ribosomal RNA is filed under the name uncultured bacterium. Its description in RNAcentral is "partial 16S ribosomal RNA". It matches the Rfam family "Bacterial small subunit ribosomal RNA", at positions 524 to 776 of the family's 1533-position model. The record is from RNAcentral.
UACGGGGGGGGCGAGCGUUGUUCGGAAUUAUUGGGCGUAAAGGGCGCGUAGGCGGUGCGGUAAGUCUGAUGUGAAACCUCCAGGCUCAACUUGGAGCUUGCAUUAGAAACUGCCGUGCUAGAGUGCGGGAGAGGAGAGUGGAAUUCCCGGUGUAGCGGUGAAAUGUGUAGAGAUCGGGAGGAACACCGGUGGCGAAGGCGGCCUUCUGGACGGUGACUGACGCUGAGGCGCGAAAGCGUGGGGAGCAAACGGG